This 448-nucleotide ribosomal RNA is filed under the name uncultured bacterium. RNAcentral describes it as "bacterial SSU rRNA". It matches the Rfam family "Bacterial small subunit ribosomal RNA", at positions 29 to 524 of the family's 1533-position model. The record is from RNAcentral.
AACGAACGCUGGCGGCAGGCCUAACACAUGCAAGUCGAACGCCCCGCAAGGGGAGUGGCAGACGGGUGAGUAACGCGUGGGAACGUACCCUUCGGUUCGGGAUAACUCAGGGAAACUUGAGCUAAUACCGGAUACGUCCGAGAGGAGAAAGAUUUAUCGCCGAGGGAUCGGCCCGCGUCUGAUUAGCUUGUUGGUGAGGUAACGGCUCACCAAGGCGACGAUCAGUAGCUGGUCUGAGAGGAUGAUCAGCCACAUUGGGACUGAGACACGGCCCAAACUCCUACGGGAGGCAGCAGUGGGGAAUAUUGGACAAUGGGCGCAAGCCUGAUCCAGCCAUGCCGCGUGAGUGAUGAAGGCCCUAGGGUUGUAAAGCUCUUUUACCCGGGAUGAUAAUGACAGUACCGGGAGAAUAAGCCCCGGCUAACUCCGUGCCAGCAGCCGCGGUAAC